This 332-nucleotide ribosomal RNA is filed under the name uncultured Acidobacteriaceae bacterium. RNAcentral describes it as "bacterial SSU rRNA". It matches the Rfam family "Bacterial small subunit ribosomal RNA", at positions 568 to 898 of the family's 1533-position model. The record is from RNAcentral. Lineage: Bacteria; Pseudomonadati; Acidobacteriota; Terriglobia; Terriglobales; Acidobacteriaceae.
UGCGUAGGCGGCUUUCUAAGUUGGAUGUGAAAACUCUGGGCUCAACCCAGAGCCUGCAUCCAAAACUGGAGAGCUUGGGUUCUGGAGGGGAAAGCGGAAUUCCUGGUGUAGCGGUGAAAUGCGUAGAUAUCAGGAGGAACACCGGUGGCGAAGGCGGCUUUCUGGACAGAUACCGACGCUGAGGCACGAAAGCUAGGGGAGCAAACAGGAUUAGAUACCCUGGUAGUCCUAGCCCUAAACGAUGGAUACUUGCUGUGAGGGGGAUUGAAACCCCUUGUGGCGAAGCUAACGCAUUAAGUAUCCCGCCUGGGGAGUACGGUCGCAAGGCUGAA